UUUAAGUGUAGUUGUGGAUUUUUAUGUUCAACGUUUGAGCGUCCAUCUUAUUUGUAAUUUUUUAUGAUUAGUACUUUUAUUGUUAUUAGAUAAUAAAACAUGAAUAACACUUUACGUGUGAUUUUUUUUUAAUUUUUUAGUUAAGAUGGAUGGUAAAAACGUUGGGCAUGAAAACCCACAACUUCACCUAAA
Oryza punctata is the source of this 192-nucleotide non-coding RNA. The record is from Rfam. NCBI's taxonomy places the organism in Eukaryota, Viridiplantae, Streptophyta, Magnoliopsida, Poales, Poaceae.